GCGCUAUGAUGUCUUAUAUUAUAGGUUCAGACGUACGAGUUCCCAAUCAUAGUUAGCAGUUCAGGAUAUCAGCUACAGAUUUAGAAGUGAGUCCUCAUCCAUCGAGGAUAUUAUCUUAUUUCAGUAUUUUAGUUAGUUUAGUAGUUACUUCAUUCGGAGUUAGUUGGGGGUUUGUCCCAUCAACUCCCCAUUUAUUCAGUUAGAGGCUUUUAUACUAGUACACACAGUUAGUCAGUUUUCAGUUGUUAUUAUCAGUAUUGAUUUGCAG
Molecule: long non-coding RNA, 268 nt
Filed under: Capsicum annuum
Lineage: Eukaryota; Viridiplantae; Streptophyta; Magnoliopsida; Solanales; Solanaceae
Description: long non-coding RNA (CANN_LNC006956)
Source: RNAcentral